GAAAUGCGAUAAAUAAUGUGAAUUGCAGAAUUCAGUGAAUCAUCGAGUCUUUGAACGCACAUUGCGCCCUCUGGUAUUCCGGAGGGCAUGCCUGUCCGAGCGUCAUUGCUGCCCUCAAGCACGGCUUGUGUGUUGGGCCCCCGUCCCCCCCACCGGGGGGACGGGCCCGAAAGGCAGCGGCGGCACCGCGUCCGGUCCUCGAGCGUAUGGGGCUCUGUCACCCGCUCUUGUAGGCCCGGCCGGCGCCAGCCGACCCCCCUCAAUCUAUUUUUUCAGGUUGACCUCGGAUCAGGUAGGGAUACCCGCUGAACUUAA
Molecule: unclassified non-coding RNA, 315 nt
Filed under: uncultured Penicillium
Lineage: Eukaryota; Fungi; Ascomycota; Eurotiomycetes; Eurotiales; Aspergillaceae
Also listed under: 1 other name
Description: sequence contains ITS1
Rfam family: 5.8S ribosomal RNA (bases 1-105)
Source: RNAcentral